RNAcentral lists this ribosomal RNA (696 nucleotides) under Mucor velutinosus. RNAcentral's name for it is "eukaryotic LSU rRNA". It matches the Rfam family "Eukaryotic large subunit ribosomal RNA", at positions 38 to 641 of the family's 3401-position model. Lineage: Eukaryota; Fungi; Mucoromycota; Mucoromycetes; Mucorales; Mucoraceae. The record is from RNAcentral.
GCAUAUCAAUAAGCGGAGGAAAAGAAAAUAAUAAUGAUUUCCCUAGUAACGGCGAGUGAAGAGGAAAGAGCUCAAAGUUGGAAACUGUUUGGCUUAGCUAAACCGUAUUGUAAACUGUAGAAACAUUUUCCUGGCACACCAGAUUAAUAAGUCCUUUGGAACAAGGCAUCAUGGAGGGUGAGAAUCCCGUCUUUGAUCUGAGUAGUUGUCUUUUGUGAUAUGUUUUCAAAGAGUCAGGUUGUUUGGGAAUGCAGCCUAAAUUGGGUGGUAAAUCUCACCUAAAGCUAAAUAUUUGCGAGAGACCGAUAGCGAACAAGUACCGUGAGGGAAAGAUGAAAAGAACUUUGAAAAGAGAGUUAAACAGUAUGUGAAAUUGUUAAAAGGGAACCGUUUGGAGCCAGACUGGUUUGACUGUAAUCAACCUAGAAUUCGUUUUGGGUGCACUUGCAGUCUAUACCUGCCAACAACAGUUUGAUUUGGAGGAAAAAAUUAGUAGGAAUGUGGCCUCUCGAGGUGUUAUAGCCUACUAUCAUACUCUGGAUUGGACUGAGGAACGCAGCGAAUGCCUUUAGGCGAGAUUGCUGGGUGCUUUCGCUAAUAAAUGUUAGAAUUUCUGCUUCGGGUGGUGCUAAUGUUUAAAGGAGGAACACAUCUAGUAUAUUUUUUAUUCGCUUAGGUUGUUGGCUUAAUGACUCU